Molecule: long non-coding RNA, 1791 nt
Organism: Oncorhynchus mykiss (rainbow trout)
Lineage: Eukaryota; Metazoa; Chordata; Actinopteri; Salmoniformes; Salmonidae
Source: Ensembl
AUGGACCUGACAGAUUCAGAUACAGACCUGACAGAUACAUAUACAGACCUGACAGAUACAGACCUGACAGAUACAGAACUGACAGAUACAGACCUGACAGAUACAGAUACAGACCUGACAGAAACAGAACGGUCAGAUACAGAUACAGACCUGACAGAUACAGAUACAGACCUGAGAGAUACAGACCUGACACAUACAGAUACAGACCUGACAGAUACAGAUACAGACCUGACAGAUACAGACCUGACAGAUACCGAUACAGACCUGACAGAUACAGACCUGACAGAUACAGACUUGACAGAUACAGACCUGACAGAUACAGACCUGAGAGAUACAGAUAUAGACCUGACAGAUACAGACCUGAGAGAUACAGAUACAGACCUGACAGAUACAGAUACAAACCUGACAGAUACAGACCUGAGAGAUACAGACCUGACAGAUACAGAUACAGACCUGACAGAUACAGACCUGAGAGAUACAGAUACAGACCUGACAGAUACAGACCUGACAGAUACAGACCUGAGAUUCAGAUACAGACCUGACAGAUACAGACCUGAGAGAUACAGACCUGAGAGAUACAGACCUGACAGAUACAGACCUGAGAGAUACAGACCUGAGAGAUACAGACCUGAGAGAUACAGAUACAGACCUGGCAGAUACAGACCCAACAGAUACAGAUACAGACUUGACAGAUACAGAUACAGACCUGACAGAUACAGAUACAGACCUGACAGAUACAGAUACAGACCUGACAGAUAUAGAUACAGACCUGACAGAUACAGAUACAGACCUGACAGAUACAGAUACAGACCUGACAGAUACAGAUACAGAUACAGACCUGACAGAUACAUAUACAGACCUGACAGAUACAGACCUGACAGAUACAGACCUGACAGAUACAGACCUGAGAGAUACAGAUACAGACCUGACAGAUACAGACCUGAGAGAUACAGAUACAGACCUGACAGAUACAGCUACAGAGCAGACAGAUACAGAUACAGACCUGACAGAUACAUAUACAGACCUGAGAGAUACAGAUACAGACCUGACAGAUACAGAUACAGACCUGACAGAUACAUACCUGACAGAUACAGAUACAGACCUGAGAGAUACAGAUACAGACCUGACAGAUACAGAUACAGACCUGACAGAUACAGAUACAGACCUGACAGAUACAGAUACAGACCUGAGAGAUACAGAUACAGACCUGACAGAUACAGAUACAGACCUGACAGAUAUAGACCUGACAGAUACAUAUACAGACCUGAGAGAUACAGAUACAGACCUGACAGAUACAGAACUGACAGAUACAGACCUGACAGAUACAGAUACAGACCUGACAGAUACAGAUACAGACCUGACAGAUACAGAUACAGACCUGACAGACACAGACCUGACAGAUACAGAUACAGACCUGAGAGAUACAGAUAUAGACCUGACAGAUACAGAUACAAACCUGACAGAUACAGACCUGAGAGAUACAGACCUGACAGAUACAGAUACAGACCUGACAGAUACAGACCUGACAGAUACAGACCUGAGAGAUACAGAUACAGACCUGACAGAUACAGAUACAGACCUGACAGAUACAGACCUGACAGAUACAGAUACAGACCUGACAGAUACAGAUACAGACCUGACAGAUACAGACCUGACAGAUACAGAUACAGACCUGACAGAUACAGAUACAGACCUGACAGAUACAGACCUGACAGAUACAGACCUGAGAGAUACAGAUACAGACCUGACAUAUACAGACCUGACAGGUACAGACCUGACAGAAACAGGUAA